AGUGAUGACUCAGAGGAGGUCACUUCAGAUGACCCGGGGUCAGAGGUCAAAUCAAAAGUCGUCAAGAGGAGAAAAGAACAAUCGAAACAAUGAACUGUAGAACAAUAAUUAUAGCUGAUGAUGUUAAACAAUGGAAAAUAUGGAAAGCGGGUGUGGCACUUUGCUGAAAAGGGGCGAACUGAGACAAAGAAAGCUCAAGUGUGUCUAUCAGUAAAGCUUCAAUAUAAUGGCUACUGGGCAAGACUCCGGCGCUCAAAAGAAGCUAGCCGAGGACUUAUACGAGGCCGAGGACUUAUACGAGGCUGUAGACGAACGUGACGUCGUCAAAGUUAGGUCUCUGUUGGGACAUGGGGCAGACCCCAACCACCAGCUCUACUGGAGUGACGAGUGGGGAUACAAGAAGCCUCCAUUACACUUGGCUUGUGAUAAGGGCCACCUUGAGAUUGCGAAGACACUUGUUACCCAUGGAGCUCGGACUGAUAAAGGUGAUGGGACGUACAGCAAGACUCCACUUCACUGGGCAUGCCAGGGAGGUGAUAAGGAGAUGGUGCAGUACCUGAUCCAAGAGCUCAAAUGUAGCACUGUUGAACUCUGUUCCACAACAGACGUGAGGGAUAAGGAUAACAUGACUCCUCUUCAUCAGGCUUGUAUAUGGGGAAAUAAAGACGUGGUACAGUAUCUGGUGGAGGAGAGGAAGAUGGAUGUUGAUGUGAGGGAUGGUGAGGGACAGUCACCACUGGACAAUGCUCUGAAGGGUUCUGAUGUUGUGUGUUAUGAGGACUGUAUGGAUGUUGCCCUCUACCUGAUGAGCCGUGGCUGUGCAUGUGGUGAUGAGGACAAAGCCAGGUUACUCUGUGAGGCAUGUGACCUUGGCGAGCUGGGUGUCGUGAAGGAACUUGUUGAGCAAUACAAAGUUGACCCCAACAGUGUAACUGACUUUAAUGGCAAGACUCCUCUUGACCUUGCUACACAGGAGGGUCACACUGAAAUUGUUGACUACCUCAAGUCUCUACCACAACAAUCUGCUGUGACUGGAGACACUGACUCCAGGAGUGACGAGAAUGGACCACCACCAACAAAGAAACGAAAAAUGACCUCUGACCCUCUGUCUGGUCAACAGACACCCAGUGCUGGCGAUGAACAACCAGAAACAACUGAUACUCAAAAUGAUUCCACACAACUUUCAACGGAUGACCAAACCUUGUCAAGCACUCCAUUGACUGAGGAAGACUCUGAUGCUCUAGAAAAGCUGCUCCUAGACAACAAAAUCUCUUUGACUGGUGAAAGGACAUAUGAGACAGUAGUUCACCACCUUCGUGAGCUCGGACAUAUGGAACUUGCAGCCAACCUGAGGGAAAACCUCGACAAAGUGAUUAGAGAGCAAAAGCGAUAUCUGAAGAAAUUGGACGAUCUGAUGACCGACAAAGACACUAUCUCCAUGCAGUACCUCCGCCUACUUCUUGUCGGGCCACCAUUCGUGGGGAAAACAACAACUCUUGGCCGUUUACUGAAAGAUAUUGAAAACAUUAGUUCUGCUGGAGACAAGGCAAAGCUACGCAGUACGCUACUCACCAAUUGCCACCAAGUAGUCGCCUACAUGAACAAAGAUGCCACAGAAUGGGUUUAUUCCAAAGACGUAGAAGAGGAAGCAAAGAUCCUCUUUGGCUACAUGUACAGUAGCAAGGUCGAUGUUCCGAGUGCCCCAACUGAGAAAAAGACAAAAACUGUCCCCGAAAGCGAAAAGCACACAAGCAUACCCAAGCCACUUUCUCUUGAAAAGCCUCAGUCAAAGCUUGAAGAAGAAACACGCUCUGAAAUACAAGAGAAUGCUCACCAACAAAACAGGCUCAUACCCAUCAAAGCUAGAUUACAAAAACUGAUAAAGAACGGAAACUACUCCGAAAUGGCCAAAUGUCUCGGCAACACCUUGCUAAACAUCAACGAUGUUGGAGGACAACCUGCCUUCCUAGAAAUGCUACCAGCCGUAUGUAAUGGUCCUGCCAUGUAUCUAGUGUUCUUGGAUCUAAGCAAGGAACUUAACGAACCCUACGAUAUUCCCUUCAGUCGUGACGACACAGUCAUUACUCCAUUCAAAGCUGCUCACACAGUGGAAGCCACAGUCUCUCAAAUCCUCUCAGCAGUUGCCAGUAUCCAUCACGUCUCUCAAGAAGAUGCCAAGUACAAAACCACCUCCAAAUUGAGCGAGAAGUUUGAAAAGUUCCAACAAGUUCGUCCGGUAGCAGCUUUGAUCGGUACUCACGUGGACAAGUUGGAGAAUCCAAAAGAGAAAAUCAAGCAAGUCAACGAUGCUCUGAAAGCAACCACUCAAAAGUUUGCUGAGAUCCUUGUAUCACCUCCGUCAGAUUCUGAAUCUUCCUUUUUUGCCGUGGACAACUUUGCUGGAACGGAACAGUCUGACAUUGCCCCGAUUCGUGAUUUCCUGAGCGAUGUUUUUGCGUCUCAUUUCAAGGAUGCAUCUCUGCCCAUCAAACCGAAAUGGCUCCUACUGGGCACACUACUGCGGAUGGAGUACUCAAUCGUGUCGAUGGAAGACUGUCUAGAAAUCGGGAGAUUGUUGGAGAUGGAUGAAGAAGAUACCAAAUUCUGUCUUUGGUACCUACAGAAGAUUGGAUCCAUACUCCAUUACGGGAAUGUACCCAAUGAUAUCGAUGGCUGGCUAAGCAACCACAUGUUCUGCACCCCUGAAGUGAUCUUCACUAGCAUCAGCCAACUGAUCCUUGCUGCUUUACGCAUCCUCCAUUCUGAAGGCAUUGUCCUCGAGAUUGAGCGAGCAGACUUGAUCAAGAUGGGACAGUUUUCACUGGAGGCCAUUAUCAAGUACUGUAAUGGUCCUGAUGUUGCAAAACUGCUCAAGAAAGGAGAGAUUAUCCCAGCCAAGCAUCUCAUCAUACUGCUGCAACAUCUCAACCUUCUCUCAGAAAUUGUCCACAAAGAUGCCAAUGAUUCGAAGGUCACUCGAAGCACGUACCUCAUGCCGGCUGUUUUGGACUGUGCUUUACAAGACGAGCUAGCCAACCCACCUCAACCAGACACCAACAACCCAGAACCACUCCACAUCGCAUUCAGCUUUGGUUACGUACCAACAGGAGUCUUCUGCGGGCUCAUCACUCGACUAGUUUCCCAAGGCCCUCACGGAAUUCUAGGAUUGAUGUGGGAAUUGGUGGAAGAUGGCGUCAAACGAAACUGCGUCUCCUUUUAUGUUGACUACGUACACAAAGUGACACUGCUCUCUCACGACAGAAGCUACGAGAUACGAGUUGAACGCAAUGCAAAACAGAUGGAUUUAUCUCUUCACGAUCUUUGCUCCCACACUUUGUCAGCAAUCCUGUAUAUGCUCAAGAACCUGUUCCCAAAGUUGAUCCUCAGUGUUGCAUUUCAAUGCUCCUGUCCCAAACACGCAGCAAGCAAGAGUCUCAACAACCUUUGCACCCUUGUUCAAGGCCGAAAGAUCUACUUCCUGUGUGGUAGAAGUCCCGUCACCCUCAGUGAAGCACAACAAGUGUGGUUGGGGAAGCACGUGUGUCUAGGAAAUAGGACGGAACUAGAGGUGCUAAAGUUUGCUGAGGAUGGUUUCUCCUUCCACUGGAGCAAAGAGGGCUCCAGACGUCAGAUUAAGACAACUGAUGAUCGGCCCAACACUGUCAGCUUCCCGAGUGUGAGAGAGGAGGACUUUGGUCACUACCAGUGUGAAGUGAAGGAUGCAGCUGCUGGGAAAGUGCUCCUCACUCUCUACACAGCUCUCUACAAAGAGGACACAAAUCUUCUAGCCUCAGGCCAGCGCAAAAGGUCAUUGCCAUCAGAUGUAGAAGUUGAAUCUCUGUCGAAGCGUCCAAAGAAUGAUGUCACUGUACAAGUUCAACAACAUAAGACGACAGCGACUACAGCUCAGUUGAGUCAAGAGUGCUCGGAUGAAGCUCUUCUCCAGUUGUCUACCGAGAUAGCUGGCUAUGACAAAUACAAGCUCAGGCUGGGCCUCAGUGAUGCUGAGAUUGAGAAUAUCGAUCAAACCAUUGAUAAUAUCCCAGGGAGAUUUCACGCUGCUCUAAAGAAGUGGAAGAGUAAAAGCAUCAAUUUCGAUAAUCCAUCGAAAUCGUCAGCUACUUACGGUCGAUUAGUGGAAAUUUCCUCAGAGAUUGAGGACGGAGAGGCAGUUCGCAGCAUUCACAAGGCCUGUGUCAAGGAUACAUUUCAGCCACAUGAGACGAUAGUGACAGCGACUGCAGCUCAGUUGAGUCAAGAGUGCUCGGAUGAAGCUCUUCUCCAGUUGUCUACCGAGAUUGCUGGCUAUGACAGAUACAAGCACAGGCUGGGCCUCAGUGAUGCUGACAUUGGUGCUAUUGAUCUGACAAUUGUUGGUAUUCCAGGGAAAUUCCUCGCUGCUCUAAAGAAGUGGAAGAGUAAAAAUAUUCUCCAAUUCAAUCCAUUGAAUUCAACAGCUACUUACGGUCGAUUAGUGGAAAUUGCUGCAAAGAUUGAGGACGGAGAGGCAGUUCGCAGCAUUCACAAGGCCUGUGUGGAGCAUACAUGACUGGAGGUCAUGGAUCAGUCAACACCAUCAGACACUACCAACACUAUAGAACCAUAAGCACAUUUGCACAUUAUUUUGUUUUGUUUGACGCUUAUUGUGGUAAUGAAUGAAGUGGCAUGAGUUUUUUUUACUGACAAUGUUCUUGGUAUGGAUCCUUCAACUUGGGAACAAAUAUUAGCCAGUAAUCUGGUAAAGUAUCACUGCAGUAAUGAAUUUAUAAAUUUGCACAUGGCCUACUGAGCUAGCUAUCGUAGACUCGACUCUGCAUGCUAUAGACUAGACUAAGAGCUUCACAGCUAGGCAGCAUUGAAAUAGUAUAAAUGUUAUAGCUCCAGUUGCUAACAGAGAUGGCUCCAUGCACACGAGGAGCAGUGUAGAGAGAGAGAGCUAGCCAGAGAGUGACUGUCUCGAGGCAUCCUGACUGAGUGCUGCUGCUGGUGGAUAUGGUGGCUAGUCUGCAGAGGGAGCUGGACAAUGCUAGGGAGGAUUGUCAGCAGAGGAGCAUCCUAGCAAAACUGACCAAACAGUAGAAAUUCCAAAACUGUUUCUGACUGGAGCUGAUCCAAAUAAUUCGCGAUAGUCUCAAAAAUGCAAGCAAAGAUUGGUUUGAUUUAGGAUUGGCUCUCGGAGUGAAUAUUACUGACUUGAAAGACAUUGAAGACCAACACGCUAGUAACAAACGACGCCUAACAGAGAUGGUGGGCAAGCGUCUUGAAGUCACUCAUCCACCCAUGACAUGGCCUUACAUAUGUGAAUGUCUAAGGAGUCCUACUGUUGAGCGUAACGAUGUAGCCGAGGAAAUUGAAGGCAAGUAUGUGAGGACAGCAACUGCAGUUGCUCAUAGUGCCACCAAUUGAUCAUGAGAACCUGACAAGCUUGAAGGGGACGAAUAAAGUAAAGAAGCAUAAAGAAGCAUACAUGCAAGAAUUAAGUAAAGAAUUGACUGACUCUGUGCUAACAAUGUCGUCUAUAUAGCCAUUAUUAUAAAGUAUGAGUACUGUGACAUGUUCAAGCAUUGUUCAUUUGUUCCUUGUAAGGGAUCAGCAUCUUAUUCUUAUAGAAUAAUUAUUUAUAAUUGA
Molecule: RNA transcript, 5628 nt
Organism: Halichondria panicea
Lineage: Eukaryota; Metazoa; Porifera; Demospongiae; Suberitida; Halichondriidae
Exons: 19
Source: RefSeq, a predicted model, not a curated record